Molecule: ribosomal RNA, 671 nt
Filed under: Escherichia coli
Lineage: Bacteria; Pseudomonadati; Pseudomonadota; Gammaproteobacteria; Enterobacterales; Enterobacteriaceae
Description: partial 23S ribosomal RNA
Rfam family: Bacterial large subunit ribosomal RNA
Source: RNAcentral
UGUUUCGGCAAGGGGGUCAUCCCGACUUACCAACCCGAUGCAAACUGCGAAUACCGGAGAAUGUUAUCACGGGAGACACACGGCGGGUGCUAACGUCCGUCGUGAAGAGGGAAACAACCCAGACCGCCAGCUAAGGUCCCAAAGUCAUGGUUAAGUGGGAAACGAUGUGGGAAGGCCCAGACAGCCAGGAUGUUGGCUUAGAAGCAGCCAUCAUUUAAAGAAAGCGUAAUAGCUCACUGGUCGAGUCGGCCUGCGCGGAAGAUGUAACGGGGCUAAACCAUGCACCGAAGCUGCGGCAGCGACGCUUAUGCGUUGUUGGGUAGGGGAGCGUUCUGUAAGCCUGCGAAGGUGUACUGUGAGGUAUGCUGGAGGUAUCAGAAGUGCGAAUGCUGACAUAAGUAACGAUAAAGCGGGUGAAAAGCCCGCUCGCCGGAAGACCAAGGGUUCCUGUCCAACGUUAAUCGGGGCAGGGUGAGUCGACCCCUAAGGCGAGGCCGAAAGGCGUAGUCGAUGGGAAACAGGUUAAUAUUCCUGUACUUGGUGUUACUGCGAAGGGGGGACGGAGAAGGCUAUGUUGGCCGGGCGACGGUUGUCCCGGUUUAAGCGUGUAGGCUGGUUUUCCAGGCAAAUCCGGAAAAUCAAGGCUGAGGCGUGAUGACGAGGCACUACGG